GAAACUGGUGCUAAUACCGAAUGGUCUUAUUUUAAUGCGAGUUAAAUUGAGUAAAGGUGGCCUCUGUAUAUACUACCGUAUAGGGAUGAGCCUGCGUACCAUUAGCUAGUAGGUGGGGUAACGGCCCACCUAGGCAACGAUGGUUAGCGGGUCUGAGAGGAUGAUCCGCCACAAUGGAACUGGAACACGGACCAGACUCCUACGGGAGGCAGCAGUGAGGAAUAUUGCGCAAUGGGGGCAACCCUGACGCAGCGACGCCGCGUGAGUGAGGAAGGUUUUCGGAUCGUAAAGCUCUGUCAGAAGGGAAGAAAUGCUAUGUAGUUAAUACCUGCAUAGUUUGACGGUACCUUCAGAGGAAGCACCGGCUAACUCCGUGCCAGCAGCCGCGGUAAUACGGAGGGUGCAAGCGUUGUUCGGAAUUACUGGGCGUAAGGGCGCGUAGGCGGCUUUUAUANGUCAGAUGUGAAAGUCCACGGCUCAACCGUGGAAGUGCAUUUUAAACUGUGAGGCUUGGAU
This 516-nucleotide ribosomal RNA is filed under the name uncultured bacterium. RNAcentral's name for it is "bacterial SSU rRNA". It matches the Rfam family "Bacterial small subunit ribosomal RNA", at positions 153 to 647 of the family's 1533-position model. The record is from RNAcentral.